GUGGGUAUAGAUCAGUUGGCUAGAUCGUUAGAUUGUGGCUCUAAAGGCCGUGGGUUCGAGUCCCACUAUCCACCCCA
This 77-nucleotide transfer RNA is filed under the name Tenericutes bacterium HGW-Tenericutes-4. Its description in RNAcentral is "tRNA-His". It matches the Rfam family "tRNA". Rfam says of the family: Transfer RNA (tRNA) molecules are approximately 80 nucleotides in length. Their secondary structure includes four short double-helical elements and three loops (D, anti-codon, and T loops). Lineage: Bacteria; Bacillati; Mycoplasmatota. The record is from RNAcentral.